Non-coding RNA from Heterocephalus glaber (naked mole-rat), 594 nucleotides. The record is from RefSeq and is a predicted model, not a curated record. Lineage: Eukaryota; Metazoa; Chordata; Mammalia; Rodentia; Bathyergidae.
UAAAGUACAGGUCUCUCCAGUGCCCCGGACUGCAGGUCCAGCCCUAUCUGCUCAUACUCCUGGUUGUAUCCCGUGUCCGCCCACGAUGUUCCAUCAUUGAUUUCCUUAUCCUUCCCCCACGUCCUGUCAUCUGUGCACUGCCUGGGGAAGAUGUCCUGACCACAGCCUCUGCCUGUGUCCUCAAGCAGCUGGGCAGGACUCCACCUCUCCCAGGACCGUUCUGUACUUGCUGACACUUGGUGAGGCUCAGUGGCCUCGAAGAGAAGCGGACAUGUGAGAAAGCAGCAAUGAGCAGUGGAGGCACCAUGGAAAUCUCAGCCAUGUGUUGCAGACACAUGUGCGCUUGCCUACAGCCUGGUCCUGGCAGAUGGGUCCCCAUGCCCGAUGGCCAGCAUGGAGGACAGUGGGGCCUAGGGGGAGGAGGAGUGCUCUUCCCUCUUCCCGCAGUCCGACUUUCCAGCUGGGGAAGAGACCAAAGCAGCACUUCCCUCCUGCUCUAGCAUCCCCAGAGAUGGAAGCGCUGGCCCUGUCUACUGAAGGUGAGGUGCUCGCUGGAGACUGUGACCCCAAUACUGAAAGCUGUGCUUUCCAGAG